Molecule: small RNA, 52 nt
Filed under: Caenorhabditis elegans
Lineage: Eukaryota; Metazoa; Nematoda; Chromadorea; Rhabditida; Rhabditidae
Description: Unclassified non-coding RNA T04A6.7
Source: RNAcentral
AAUCAUCAAACAUGUUGUUUCCCGCCGUCAUAAAUGGGUCAGUGAUGACCUU